CCACCAGGCAAAGGGAUUCAAAGGAUUGCAUGGGAGAAUUCACUUCACAAGAGGCCCCUUUCAGACCCUCUCCAGAGCUAUUUUGCUGUUCAACCUCUUCUGGAUGCCCUCAAGGUCUGGAUGCUGCCAUCCUAUACCUGUAAUGUGACCAAAAAAACCAGUUCUCCUCCUGGAGCUGUGGGACAGUUUGGCCAUAGCCUUUUUAUGUACCCACAGGAAGGUGAUGAGUCCCCACUUCCAAUCUCUUUGAUUUAUCAGCAAGGUGAGUUUCCUGCUAUGGAAAGUAGAGCAGCACAACUGCCAAAGAAGGAGGAAGAGCUCUGCAAGGAGCAGGAGGAAGAGGAGAAAACCCAUUUGGAUGGGGAGAGGAACGUGCCAGAAACACAGAAGUCAGAGAGCAAGAGUUAUGCUGCCCCUCAGGAGGUGAACAAUAUAAAAAAUAAUGUCAUGAUUUCAGAUAUGGAAUAGACACAGCUUAACAAACAGCUCCAUGAAAUGCAAGAAAAGAAGAGUUGUGACCUACAGAUUUGGCAAACUUAGCUGUUGCUAUUUCAGAAGAUAAAAGUGUGCAUCCAUAAGGACAAGGCCUGCAAAUGGAGAGAGCAUCUCUGAGCACACUCCCUUAAUGCUGAUUUCUGCACUGGUACCAAAGCUGCAGUAAACCUGAGAGGUGAACCUGUCCUCCAUUGGAGCCUGUGGGAUUUUGCCCACUGCAAUGAAAACAAUUGAAAAGGGCACUGUAAGGAACACUAUGCUGUAAAAAUCAUAUGCUUGCUGUUCUCAGUUUUGUACCUCUCACUGGUGAUUAAAAUUGCUCUACAAAGACUCACAUCCUGUCUUUCAUUAAGUGUUCCACUGGCUUGCUGAGCAUUGCAGAAGAGGUACAGCAUUGCCUCAGGUUAAGCAUGAAUUUUCUUUUUCAGUACUGUGCCAAGUUUUUCCUCUUUGAAGAUAUCAUUAAAAACACCUCAAAGUUCCUCUGCCUCACACAAUGUUGUUUUCAGGAAUUGCUUGAG
Long non-coding RNA from Zonotrichia leucophrys gambelii, 1016 nucleotides. RefSeq lists it as uncharacterized. The record is from RefSeq and is a predicted model, not a curated record. The transcript has 7 exons. Lineage: Eukaryota; Metazoa; Chordata; Aves; Passeriformes; Passerellidae.